This 4830-nucleotide long non-coding RNA is filed under the name Sus scrofa (pig). RNAcentral describes it as "lncRNA (ENSSSCG00005029824.1)". The record is from RNAcentral. Lineage: Eukaryota; Metazoa; Chordata; Mammalia; Artiodactyla; Suidae.
UUUUUUUUUUUUUUUUUUUUUUUUUUUUGUCUUUUCUAGGGCCGCACCUGUGGCAUAUGGAGCUUCCCAGGGGAGGGGUCUAAUCAGAGCUACAGCUGCCGGCCUAUGCCACAGCCAUAGCAAUGCCAGAUCUGAGCCACAUCUUCGACCUACACCACAGCUCACGGCAACGCCGGAUCCUUAACCCCUUGAGCAAGGCCAGGGAUCAAACCUGAAACCUCAUGGUUCCUAGCCGGAUUGGUUAACCACUGAGCCAGUACAGGAACUUCUCACUAUACUCUUAAAGUAUGUGCCGCAUCUUGAAAGAUGGGAUGGUGGGGAGGAAGGGAAACAUUUUGAUCACUGUUUAGUAGAAACUCAAACCUGGCCCAAUAUCUUCUCCUUAAAAUAGGCCAGAUGUGAACUUUCAUUUGCAGUCAUUACAUCCCAAUUGAUUUCCACAACAUAAUCAAAAGUGGACAUGACAGCAUUAGUCUCAAAAGACCACGAGUCAACUGUCCUCCUAUCAGCCCUCAUACUCACAGGUUCAGAUCAGUACAGAAUUUCCCUUAAGAACUCUUUUUACACGUUCCCCAAACAAAAACUUUAGUAAAAGACUAAUUCAAUUAGAAUCCUUUAAAAACUGAUGAAGCUUAAGGAUAGGAGAAUACUUUUCACUUCAUUUAUUUUUAUAUAUCAUAUUUCUCUUUCUGUUUUAUACACACACACACACACACACACACACACACACAUAUAUAUACUUUGUAUUUGAAUUGUAUACAUUUUUUAAAAAAUAUUUUUUGGAGUUCCUGUUGUGGCUCAGCAGGUGAAGUACCCAAUGUCGUCUCUGUGAGGAAGCAAGUUUGAUCCCUGGCCUCACUCAGGGAUUAAGGAUCCGGCAUUGCCACAAACUGCAGCAUAGUUGUCUGUGGCUGUGGUGUAGGCUACAGCCGCAGCUCUGAUUCGACCCCUGGCCUGGGAACUUCCAUAUGCUGCAAGUAUGGCCUUAAAAAUAAAUAAAUAAAAUAAAAUAAAAUAAAAAACUGUGACUACUAGAAAACUUUAAAUCACAUGGAUGACUCACAUCAUAUCUUCAUUAGACUGUGCUGCUCCAGAUUAUAAAUGGUUUAUCCUCUCAGCUCCCAGUCAGCAGAACCGACCUGUCCCAUGUCCCCUUCUCUGGGUGGCCAUUCUCUAAUGCUAAAGCCCAACCACACCAGGUGUUCCUGAGUAGACAGUGUGCCCCUGACAGUGACAUCUAGACUGAGCCUCUGAAGCCUCAGGGUGGUUGUAAGGAGUGUGUCCCCCCUUCUGCAGGAGGCAGGAAGGCAGGGAAGGGAAGGGACCCCGCCACCCCUCAAAUGGCACUAAUUCUACCUGCAUGGGAGCACUGACUUUCCAAUGGUCAUCUGGCUGGGGGGAUUUUCAUCUCCUGAAGUAUCAUGAUAGCUUGGGGAGGAGGGGGGAAGAGGAAGAGAACAAAGUCUUAAAUGUUCUUCAGCAUGACCCCUGGGUCAUCCCUCUCCUCUCUCUUUCAGGUUAGAAACAGAAAUUCAUAAAACCCAGGGACAAUACUGGCUUCCCCAUGGGACUCCUCAUUUUUGCCAGGAGCUGGGCUGAGUGCUUUGUGGGUAUCAUUUCAUCCCAUUUGCCCAACCACCCCAUGAAAUUUCUAGAAGAGGAAACUCAAGCUUAGGAGGGUUAAGUAAUGUGCCCGAGGUGACCACAGGAUUAGUCAAGGGGCCAAGUCACAGGAUUCAGGUCUGAUCGGCUCUGGACCCAUGUUCCUCCCCACCAAUUCACUUCUCCAGGCCUUGGUUUCCUCAUCUGUGGAAUGGGGACAGUAUCUGCCUGAAGGCGGGGUGGAAGGCUCCAUGGUCCCCAGGGACCCAUCCUCUCCUGGAAAGAGGUUCUGGGCUCUUGCAGAGCUGCCCAGUUCCCUCUCCAUCUCUAGCCACUCUCUGGAUGGGCUGCACCCCACAUCCUAGGCUGGCACACCUGUCCCUGACUGCUUGACCUUGGGGCUCUCUUGACCUUGAGGUUCCUCCUGCCUGGGUGCCCUCUAGUUCCUGUCUUGUGAGUUAAGUGCCUCUAGCUCCUUAUAUCAGGACUCCACCUCAACUUCACCUCCUCCAAAGCCCCAUCAAAACUGUCAAGCCAGAAAACUGCUUCCCAGUCCACCUCCCAGGAGGUGAUGCUCUUCUCCACCCCUCCCCCAGGGCCCUGCACUCCCUUCCCAGCAAACUCACUCCCACCUGAAGCCUUGACACAGACAGGCUUAGCCAGCGCCUCACCUCCCACAGGAAGGAUUAUGUACAUUCAACACACUCAGCUAAAUAUUUCCUGAGCAUCCACGGCACACUUGGCUUCUUCUAUACUCUAUGGGUGUUCUACGGUUUGGGGCACAGCAGUGACGGUGACAAAGUCCCUGCCUGGGCUUCUGAAGGAGUCAAGAUUUCCCCCAAAACAGUGAUGCCCUAAACACACUAUGUGAACAUACUAGUUUAUGGAAUUCCCGUUGUGGCUCAGUGGUUAACGAACCCGACUAGCAUUCAUAAGGAUGUGAGUUCAGUCCCUGGCCUCGCUCAGUGAGUUAAGGAUCUGGUAUUGCUGUGAGCUGUGGUGUAGGUUGCAGACAUGGCUCAGAUCCCAUGUUGCUGUGGCUGUGGUGUAGGCCAGCAGCUACAGCUCUGAAUGGACCCCUAACCUGGGAACCUCCAUGUGCCGUUGUUGUGGCCCUAAAAAAAAAAGACCAAAAAAAAAAAAAUACUGGUUCACAUUUCUCAAGAUUCUCCUGCUGUUAUUUUUGGGUCAAGGAAUGAUUCAUAAAUGAUUAAUGAUUAAUAAAUGAUUCUAAAGAACAUGAUGGCAUUGGUAAGUGUGAUAGAACACUUGGUAAGGGACAGCUUGCUAUACCAUACACCAGUGGCUCUUAACACAGUGAUGGAGGCAGGUGUAUAGUGAGAAGUACCUUUCUAAGCCCAUCUGCAAAGCGUUGGGGUGGGGUAGGGGGGUGCUAUUUUCCUAAUUCAAACUGCAGAUGGUAAAGCUUACUGAAAUGUUCUUGGCCAAUGAGGAGACUUGGAAAAUACAUUUUCUUCUACAUAGCAAUGAUUUACGCUGGGAAUGUCCCAGACUCCCAAGAAAAAGAAACUUCUCUUCAUUAAAAGAUGAUCUGGAUAUUAAAAGUUUUAGAAAACAGUAUUUAAUCUUAUUACAUUUAUUUGUGCAUAUGUGUGUGCAUGUGUGUGUGUGUGUGUGUGUGUGUGUGUUUUAGUGGAUGUAUGAAAAAAGACUGGAAGGAAAUACAGCCAAAUUAGGGUGUUGUAAGCAGUUUUUGGUUUUAAUUUCAUACCUUUCCACAGUUUCCAAAUUUUCUCUCAUGACCCUUAUUGCUCCUCUAAGCAGAAAAUAAGCAGUAAACUGAAAUGCUAAUAGUUUUUUAAUUUCCUCAUGAAUCUGUUUUUACAGGCACCAUUUCAGUGGGGUCUGGAAAUCAGCAGGGUGUGAAACACAAAUGAAAUUCCCCGUUCACACGGGGCUGAGCGUACCCCUUGGCCCUGAAGAGAAGCUUUCCCUGCAUCCACGCUGGCAGCCAGCUGUCCACAGCUGCUCUGAGGAGGCUGCAAAUGAAUGGAGCUGGUGGAAAAACACAACAUUCCUGACUCUCCAAGGAUGGCAUUAUGCUUGGAGCUCUUGCUCACCAAAGAAGUAAAUAAAUACAGAGAGAGAGGGAGAGAAAGAGAGACAGAGAAGCAAGCUAGAGGAACUUUAUUCCAGGAGGUGGGUCAGCUCCUGGACCCAUAACACAACACCUGAAAGAAGACACCUGUGCCUAAGCCAACCAGCCUUGUCAAAUCAGGGCUAAAACACUGCUUGACCAUGGCCUACUGGGCUAUACCUCUUGCAUGCCAUCUUCCGUUCCUGCCACACCUAAGGGUACAUAUGAACCAACUUUAUAUCCACCGCUAGGCUAAAGAGAUUCUGAGAGCACAGCCCCUGGCUGAUUCACCUUCAUCAACCCCUAGCACUGAAGGGCAUAUCCGUUCAUCCACUAUUUCCUCAGCCACUGCUGCAUGCCAAGCACUGUUCUGAUGCUAAGGAUACAAUGGGAAGCAAAACAGACAAACUCCCUGCCUUCACGGACCUUCCAUUCUAGCAGGGGAGGCAGACAAUAGACUGGAGGAGAACCAAGAUUACAGCCCAGGCAGACUGGGGUGCUGUGAAUGUAUUGCUAGGUUGUUUCAGAUGAGAUCUAAUGACAAGGUGAAGCCAGCUGUGGGAAGAUUCUGCACACAUGUGAGCUUGGUGUGUUUCAGGAACAAAAAGGGGCCAGGUGGUUCGAGUACAGGGCGUAGACAGUGAUCAGAGAGGCAGGCAGAGGCCAGAUCCUGGAAACCCCAUGGGAGGGGAGCACAGGAGCAGCCCACUUGCCUUAUAAAACCUGCUGUGAGCCCCUGACAUGGUUCUGAGGGGUGGAUUAAUUCACUCCAAGGAGUUAAACAGAGAGACAAGCUCAGGGCUUUGCCUGCUUCCUCUGCCCCAAACCCUCAUUCCUCCCUCCACUGAUCCAGCGAGAAAAGAUGCCCCAUCGAAGAAAGGAAGUUGUCAUCAGUGAACUGGUUGGUACUCUUUCUCUGAAGACAAAGGUGGGAUUGGGAAUUGGCGUGGAGAGUGGGAGGUGAGGGGGACCACCAGGGACUAGUCUGGGGAAGGGGAAGGGAGAGAGGGGAAGGGCUCUAACCUCCCCAGCCAGGACCUCACAGAAAUGCCAGAGUCCCUGGUCAGAGGGAGCCACACCUAAUUUGCCCCUUUCAGGAUCUCCUCCUGCAGAAAAAAAAAAAAAAAAAA